GAAACGGUUGCUAAGACUGGAUAGGAAACAAAAAGGCAUCUUUUUGUUUUUAAAAGACCUUCUUACGAAGGUAUGCUUAAAGAGGGGCUUGCGCCACAUUAGUUAGUUGGUAGGGUAAAAGCCUACCAAGACGAUGAUGUGUAGCUGGACUGAGAGGUUGAACAGCCACAUUGGGACUGAGACACGGCCCAAACUCCUACGGGAGGCAGCAGUAGGGAAUUUUCGGCAAUGGAGGAAACUCUGACCGAGCAACGCCGCGUGAACGAUGAAGUAUUUCGGUAUGUAAAGUUCUUUUAUUGAAGAAGAAAAAGUAGUGGAAAAACUAUAUUGACGUUAUUCAAUGAAUAAGCCCCGGCUAACUAUGUGCCAGCAGCCGCGGUAAGACAUAGGGGGCGAGCGUUAUCCGGAAUUAUUGGGCGUAAAGGGUGCGUAGGCUGUUAGAUAAGUCUAUAAUUUAAUUUCAGUGCUUAACGCUGUCUUGUUAUAGAAACUGUCUUGACUAGAGUGAGAUAGAGGCAAGCGGAAUUCCAUGUGUAGCGGUAAAAUGUGUAAAUAUAUGGAGGAACACCAGAAGCGUAGGCGGCUUGCUGGGUCUUUACUGACGCUGAGGCACGAAAGCGUGGGUAGCAAACAGGAUUAGAUACCCUGGUAGUCCACGCCGUAAACGAUGAGUACUAAGUGUCGGGGUAAAACUCGGUACUGAAGUUAACACAUUAAGUACUCCGCCUGAGUAGUACGUACGCAAGUAUGAAACUUAAAGGAAUUGACGGGACUCCGCACAAGCGGUGGAUCAUGUUGUUUAAUUCGAAGAUACACGAAAAAUCUUACCAGGUCUUGACAUACUCUGCAAAGCUAUAGAAAUAUAGUGGAGGUUAUCAGGGAUACAGGUGGUGCAUGGUUGUCGUCAGUUCGUGUCGUGAGAUGUUAGGUUAAGUCCUAAAACGAGCGCAACCCUUGUCGUUAAUUGCCAGCACGUAAUGGUGGGGACUUUAGCGAGACUGCCAAUUAAACAUUGGAGGAAGGUGAGGAUUACGUCAAAUCAUCAUGCCCCUUAUGAUCUGGGCUACAAACGUGAUACAAUGGCUGUGACAAAGAGUAGCUGAAACGCGAGUUUUUAGCCAAUCUCAAAAAAGCAGUCUCAGUUCGGAUUGAAGUCUGUAACUCGACUUCAUGAAGUUGGAAUCGCUAGUAAUCGCGAAUCAGCAUGUCGCGGUGAAUACGUUCUCGGGGUUUGUACACACCGCCCGUCA
This 1250-nucleotide ribosomal RNA is filed under the name Candidatus Phytoplasma trifolii. RNAcentral describes it as "bacterial SSU rRNA". It matches the Rfam family "Bacterial small subunit ribosomal RNA", at positions 153 to 1399 of the family's 1533-position model. Lineage: Bacteria; Bacillati; Mycoplasmatota; Mollicutes; Acholeplasmatales; Acholeplasmataceae. The record is from RNAcentral.